Molecule: non-coding RNA, 30 nt
Filed under: Callithrix jacchus (white-tufted-ear marmoset)
Lineage: Eukaryota; Metazoa; Chordata; Mammalia; Primates; Cebidae
Also listed under: 1 other name
Source: RNAcentral
UGAUAAGACCCAGGUGGAGGAUUUUUGGCA